GAAAGAACGUAGCGAAAUGCGAUAAGUAAUGUGAAUUGCAGAAUUCAGUGAAUCAUCGAAUCUUUGAACGCACAUUGCGCCCCCUGGUAUUCCGGGGGGCAUGCCUGUUCGAGCGUCAUUACAACCCUCAAGCUCUGCUUGGUAUUGGGCCCCGCCAGUUCUGGCGGGCCCUAAAGUCAGUGGCGGUGCCUUCCGGCUCCGAGCGUAGUAAUUCUUCUCGCUCUGGAGACCCGGUUGUGUGCUUGCCAACAACCCCCAAUUUUUUAAGGUUGACCUCGGAUCAGGUAGGGAUACCCGCUGAACUUAAGCAUAUCAAUAAGCGGAGGA
Molecule: unclassified non-coding RNA, 327 nt
Filed under: soil metagenome
Description: partial contains 5.8S ribosomal RNA, internal transcribed spacer 2, and large subunit ribosomal RNA
Rfam family: 5.8S ribosomal RNA (bases 3-118)
Source: RNAcentral